GUGUCCAAUUCUUUGCGAUUUUUUUUUUUUUUAAUUUGGUCUACAUUACAGAAAAGUUGGGUUGUGGAGAGCAAAAGAGAAAAAGAAUGCCAUGGAGGAUAACUGAAAAGAAAAGAUGGCAGUGAAGAGGAAGGAGUUAAGUGGAGCCACAGUGUCAUGUCGCAGUCAAACCAUCUGGACCUGGUGUAUGCAGGAGACAACUCUGGGUAGCCACCAGCAUACUUGAUCCUAGGGCUACCCUGCUUAGAAGAAAGCUGAAACAGACUCAGCAAUGCUUUGCUGUCUUGGCUUUCAGGGUUGUUGACUCAGCUGACUUCCUAGAUGCUUGUUUUAACCCACCCUUCCCACCAGGUAAGCUCUGCCUGACUUCCUAGACAUUUGACUCUUUCAUCAGUUUUUCUUACUUCAGAUACUUACUUGAAGUUUCAAGGGUCUGGGUCCUCAGUUCUUCCUGUCAUCUGAUGGCCUUUGCCUAAACACACUGAUCCUGUAACCAUCAUGCUCUCAUAAAGCAAUUCACACUACAUUUCAUGAACACCUGUUUUAUACAAAGUACUAUACUAAGCAUUUUGGGGAUGAUAAAGAACUUGAGAUGUGGCUUUGAUAAUUAGGAGGUUUCAGUGUUGUGGGGGAUGUAAAUAUAUAUAAUGAGGUGAUGAUGACAAACAUUUAUGAGUGUGGAGGGAAAUCUGGGGCUCUGAUUUUUGUAAUAAUGACCUACUUAGUCCCACUAGCUCUGGACUAGCAUUUUAUAGAUUUUUUCCUAAAGGUUCUUUUUUGUGCUAUUCAAUAUUUAGCCUUUGUUGUUUCUUCUGAUUAUGAAGUAAUAGAUAUUCAUUGUAGAAAACAUGGGAAAAGUAGAAAAAACAUAAAGAACAAAAAAAACUACUCAUAAUCUUAUCAUCUAGAGAUGGAAUGUUUCUAUUAAUGUUUGAGUGUAUUUUUUCUUAUUCUUUAAAAAAAGUUUUAUUGUUGGCAUUUCCCCACAUCAUUAAUAUUCUUUGGAAGAAUGUUUUUAAAUAGCUGAAUGGAAUUGAUGUUUCACCGUUUAUAUACUGGCCCUCUAAUGUUGAGUCUUUUCCUAUUUUAAUAGCUAGAUUCUUCCUUGCUUGAGCUUCACAGGCCCAGAGUUGAGACUGUUCUAAGAUACCUGGGGUAGAGUAGUGUUUCAUAAAAAUGGAGCUGUGUCCACAUGGGGUACACUUGGGUGAGAGGGGUGCAACCCCCUGAGACAUAAAUGACAGCAUGUAAUCUGUGCUCCUUCUCAGCUCGCACAUGCAUGAGCAUAGUAGAUACCACACCUAGAAAGUCAAAGAGGCGCUUGUUAUAUAUUUGAAAAGCUGCUUACCAUUACUACUAGACCAAGGAACUUUG
Molecule: long non-coding RNA, 1374 nt
Filed under: Bos indicus x Bos taurus (hybrid cattle)
Lineage: Eukaryota; Metazoa; Chordata; Mammalia; Artiodactyla; Bovidae
Description: lncRNA (ENSBIXG00005024678.1)
Source: RNAcentral